AGCAGCCGCGGUAAUUCCAGCUCCAAUAGCGUAUAUUAAAGUUGUUGCAGUUAAAAGCUCGUAGUUGAAUUUCGGGGUUAGUAGGUUGGUCAUGCCUCUGGUAUGUACUGGUCUCACUGAUUCCUCCUUCCUGAUGAACCUUAAUGCCAUUAAUUUGGUGUUUUGGGGAAUUUGGACUAUUACUUUGAAAAAUUAGAGUGUUUAAAGCAAGCUAACGCUUGAAUACAUUAGCAUGGAAUAAUGAAAUAGGACGUUCGAUCCUAUUUUGUUGGUUUCUAGGAUUGACGUAAUGAUUAAUAGGGAUAGUUGGGGGCAUUAGUAUCCAAUUGUCAGAGGUGAAAUUCUUGGAUUUAUUGAAGACUAACUACUGCGAAAGCAUUUGCCAAGGAUGUUUUCAUUAAUCAAGAACGAAAGUUAGGGAUCGAAGACGAUCAGAUACCGUCGUAGUCUUAACCAUAAACUAUGCCGACUAGGGAUCGGAUGAUGUUUAAUUUUUUAAUGUACUUCAUUCGGCGCCUUA
RNAcentral lists this unclassified non-coding RNA (520 nucleotides) under uncultured Glomus. Its description in RNAcentral is "SSU rRNA". It matches the Rfam family "Eukaryotic small subunit ribosomal RNA", at positions 569 to 1090 of the family's 1831-position model. The record is from RNAcentral. Lineage: Eukaryota; Fungi; Glomeromycota; Glomeromycetes; Glomerales; Glomeraceae.